Molecule: ribosomal RNA, 465 nt
Filed under: Vreelandella stevensii
Lineage: Bacteria; Pseudomonadati; Pseudomonadota; Gammaproteobacteria; Oceanospirillales; Halomonadaceae
Description: partial 16S ribosomal RNA
Rfam family: Bacterial small subunit ribosomal RNA
Source: RNAcentral
CCUACGGGCGGCUGCAGUGGGGAAUAUUGGACAAUGGGGGGAACCCUGAUCCAGCCAUGCCGCGUGUGUGAAGAAGGCCCUCGGGUUGUAAAGCACUUUCAGUGAGGAAGAACGCCUGGUGGUUAAUACCCAUCAGGAAAGACAUCACUCACAGAAGAAGCACCGGCUAACUCCGUGCCAGCAGCCGCGGUAAUACGGAGGGUGCGAGCGUUAAUCGGAAUUACUGGGCGUAAAGCGCGCGUAGGUGGCUUGAUAAGCCGGUUGUGAAAGCCCCGGGCUCAACCUGGGAACGGCAUCCGGAACUGUCAAGCUAGAGUGCAGGAGAGGAAGGUAGAACUCCCGGUGUAGCGGUGAAAUGCGUAGAGAUCGGGAGGAAUACCAGUGGCGAAGGCGGCCUUCUGGACUGACACUGACACUGAGGUGCGAAAGCGUGGGUAGCAAACAGGAUUAGAUACCCUGGUAGUC